RNAcentral lists this ribosomal RNA (696 nucleotides) under Streptococcus salivarius. RNAcentral's name for it is "bacterial SSU rRNA". It matches the Rfam family "Bacterial small subunit ribosomal RNA", at positions 92 to 776 of the family's 1533-position model. The record is from RNAcentral. Lineage: Bacteria; Bacillati; Bacillota; Bacilli; Lactobacillales; Streptococcaceae.
UGAGUUGCGAACGGGUGAGUAACGCGUAGGUAACCUGCCUUGUAGCGGGGGAUAACUAUUGGAAACGAUAGCUAAUACCGCAUAACAAUGGAUGACACAUGUCAUUUAUUUGAAAGGGGCAAUUGCUCCACUACAAGAUGGACCUGCGUUGUAUUAGCUAGUAGGUGAGGUAACGGCUCACCUAGGCGACGAUACAUAGCCGACCUGAGAGGGUGAUCGGCCACACUGGGACUGAGACACGGCCCAGACUCCUACGGGAGGCAGCAGUAGGGAAUCUUCGGCAAUGGGGGCAACCCUGACCGAGCAACGCCGCGUGAGUGAAGAAGGUUUUCGGAUCGUAAAGCUCUGUUGUAAGUCAAGAACGAGUGUGAGAGUGGAAAGUUCACACUGUGACGGUAGCUUACCAGAAAGGGACGGCUAACUACGUGCCAGCAGCCGCGGUAAUACGUAGGUCCCGAGCGUUGUCCGGAUUUAUUGGGCGUAAAGCGAGCGCAGGCGGUUUGAUAAGUCUGAAGUUAAAGGCUGUGGCUCAACCAUAGUUCGCUUUGGAAACUGUCAAACUUGAGUGCAGAAGGGGAGAGUGGAAUUCCAUGUGUAGCGGUGAAAUGCGUAGAUAUAUGGAGGAACACCGGUGGCGAAAGCGGCUCUCUGGUCUGUAACUGACGCUGAGGCUCGAAAGCGUGGGGAGCGAACAGG